UAACCUGGAAGAGGACGCGGACGCCAUUAUCUUGAUGGGAUUGGCAAGGUUUUAGAAGAGGUCUGGGCUGGGAGAUAUGGUGGUGGCCAGUUUAGGCCACGGUCGGCUUCCGUCUUGGGGUCUAAUUGGAAGGGGACGAUGAAAACAACGAAGAAGGAAGGGCAAAGGCUGAAUUGGAAUGUCCUAGAUAUUCAGAGCCACAGGACAGAAAGACCCUGAGUGCAAAGAGACACCCCCUGAGCACAAAUGCCCUGAACUGUUACCUUGGUAUUUAUUUGACACCAACUAGCAUUAACUUAGGUAUAACCUAUCAGGAAAAAAAAUGAGUAAAAGCAAGAAUAAAUGAAGUGGAGAUCAGUUUCCAGCAGGCACUUUCAUCUAAUAAAAGAUACCUUCUAAAUUUGAA
Panthera uncia (snow leopard) is the source of this 406-nucleotide long non-coding RNA. RefSeq lists it as uncharacterized. Lineage: Eukaryota; Metazoa; Chordata; Mammalia; Carnivora; Felidae. The record is from RefSeq and is a predicted model, not a curated record. The transcript has 3 exons.